GGGCAGUGGCGCGUGCCUAUACAUGCAGUCGAACGCUUCUUUUCCAUCGGAGCUUGCUCCACCGGGAAAAGAGGAGUGGCGAACGGGUGAGUAACACGUGGGUAACCUGCCCAUCAGAAGGGGAUAACACUUGGAAACAGGUGCUAAUACCGUAUAACAAUCGAAACCGCAUGGUUUCGUUUUGAAAGGCGCUUUACGGUGCCGCUGAUGGAUGGACCCGCGGUGCAUUAGCUAGUUGGUGAGGUAACGGCUCACCAAGGCCACGAUGCAUAGCCGACCUGAGAGGGUGAUCGGCCACAUUGGGACUGAGACACGGCCCAAACUCCUACGGGAGGCAGCAGUAGGGAAUCUUCGGCAAUGGACGAAAGUCUGACCGAGCAACGCCGCGUGAGUGAAGAAGGUUUUCGGAUCGUAAAACUCUGUUGUUAGAGAAGAACAAGGGUGAGAGUAACUGUUCACCCCUUGACGGUAUCUAACCAGAAAGCCACGGCUAACUACGUGCCAGCAGCCGCGGUAAUACGUAGGUGGCAAGCGUUGUCCGGAUUUAUUGGGCGUAAAGCGAGCGCAGGCGGUUUCUUAAGUCUGAUGUGAAAGCCCCCGGCUCAACCGGGGAGGGUCAUUGGAAACUGGGAGACUUGAGUGCAGAAGAGGAGAGUGGAAUUCCAUGUGUAGCGGUGAAAUGCGUAGAUAUAUGGAGGAACACCAGUGGCGAAGGCGGCUCUCUGGUCUGUAACUGACGCUGAGGCUCGAAAGCGUGGGGAGCAAACAGGAUUAGAUACCCUGGUAGUCCACGCCGUAAACGAUGAGUGCUAAGUGUUGGGAGGGUUUCCGCCCUUCAGUGCUGCAGCUAACGCAUUAAGCACUCCGCCUGGGGGAGUACGACCGCAAGGUUGAAACUCAAAGGAAUUGACGGGGGCCCGCACAAGCGGUGGAACCAUGGUGGUUUAAUUCGAAGCAACGCGAAGAACCUUACCAGGUCUUGACAUCCUUUGACACUCUA
Molecule: ribosomal RNA, 1000 nt
Filed under: Enterococcus sp. TERI BD2
Lineage: Bacteria; Bacillati; Bacillota; Bacilli; Lactobacillales; Enterococcaceae
Description: bacterial SSU rRNA
Rfam family: Bacterial small subunit ribosomal RNA
Source: RNAcentral